Molecule: long non-coding RNA, 1728 nt
Filed under: Corvus moneduloides (New Caledonian crow)
Lineage: Eukaryota; Metazoa; Chordata; Aves; Passeriformes; Corvidae
Description: lncRNA (ENSCMUG00000018115.1)
Source: RNAcentral
ACAGACAUGCACCACUCAGAGAACAGGAAGGGAACAACCUUCACAUAUUUUCAGUGGGAAAAAAAAAAUGUAUGUAUGUUUCCUUGUGUAUGUCUUUACAGGACAGCCAAGUAGCAGCCAGAAUCAUUGUAGCUUUUGAGUCCUUGAGAAGUGCAAACAAAUAUCUAUGUGUAAAUCACCAAGAUAAUGCCUGGAUCCAAAGUAAAAAUAGAAGUCACAAACUCUAAUCUUUGGACAGUAGUUAUAUCCUAUUUUCUAAUUAUCCUCUCCUAUCACAUGUAGUGUCUAAUAUAAAAGAGCGACAGGGUCUGAUAAAAGGGAAGCAUAGUUUUCAACCAGCUGCUCUAAAGAGGUGGGUAAGACCUCUGAGGGUAUUCUCAGAACAGUGAAAAAUACAUAGAUAAUGUGUGGCACCCCUCUUCCAGGGACCACUGUAAAAACAGAGACUACCAACCACAGAGGAAGAGGGAUGGUUUGCUGAAGGCCACACAAGAAUCACACCACUCAUUCAAGGAUAAAGCAGUGGGACUGCACUGCCUUCCACAUUACAUUACCAGCGUUCACCAAAACAUACAAAUGUUCUAAGUGUUAAAGAUACAAAUUUAUGAGAACUACAACUACAUUAACACAGUAAAAGAUCCCUAGACUCAUAAAUACUAAAUACCAAUCAUCAUUGCUAUGCACAUGUGCAAAAUGAGAAGAUGCUUAAAUAAGUACCUCCUGUUAGUUAUCUCUAACACUUCCAAAUGAAUAACCAUUUAUUUACUGCAGGAUGGAAAAUAUGAAUGUCACUAAAAACAAUCCCAUAUUCAUGCUUCAUAAAUUUUACUCACUCAUUAUAACUUAUUAAACUUUCAUAGAAUAUUAUCACUAUGGCAUUAUGAAAGCUAGGUUAGAUUUGAAUCAUGAGUCAAAAUAUAUACUCCUUACAGCUACCUGUGAUACUCACAGUAAGUGGUCCAUUAACAUCGAGAUUCUGCUUUUGCCAUAUGAAGAUACAGAAGUUGGUGGUGACUCCCAAGUAACGCAACAGAAGAAAUCAGAGGAGAAAUACGAGCAGUACUUAUUUGCAGCAAUGCUACCAGUGACAGGAAAGACACUUGGCCUUCCAGACAAGUCAGAAGAAAUCAGUGAAGGAUCAAUCUACGCCAAGAUUUACAGAAUAAAGGUGUGAUGAGAACAGACAAGUUGAAUGUACCAGAAGACUUCAUAGGUGAAGGAGCAGAGGACACAGGGCACUGCCAACAUCUCAGAGUCUGACCUCUUUCUGGCUGAAACAACAAGAAGGCUGUUUAAGUUGGCAAAGCAAGAAGAAAAAGGAAAACCAAACUUCCUUUCUGGGUCUACUUAGGAGGCCAGAUAUUUAACACAUAUUUAGUAAACAGAUUUUAAAAUAGCUUAUAACAAAUAGAUCUGUGAGUAUUGACUGAUAAAAGGACCCUUCCACAUGAAGCUCAAAACUAUGUAUUUUUUAAACUGCUAGUUAUUACGAAUAUUAGAGAUAGAUGACCUGUACUUUUCUCUGUGCUUUUCUUCACAGUUCAUCUCUGUUGGAUUUCUCUUUUUGUGAUGAAAUCAUAGUAUUUUACAAUGACAAGCCAGUGUAAUUAUCAUGUUAUGAAAACAGACCAUAGCAAAAAGUGAAAUGGACAAAAUGAGAAAAAUGCUCUGUGUACUUGACUGCUGUAAAUGAUUAACUGUUAGUUCUCUUUUUUACCAGGAAAAAAA